RNAcentral lists this ribosomal RNA (90 nucleotides) under Ochotona princeps (American pika). Lineage: Eukaryota; Metazoa; Chordata; Mammalia; Lagomorpha; Ochotonidae. The record is from RNAcentral.
AUCUACGGCCAUACCACCCUGAACGCACCCGAUCUCGUCUGAUCUUGGAAGACAGAAAUGGGAAACUAGCAUACUUAGUCAGGCCAGAUA